UAGGUAUUGUGGGUCAAAUUCGACCCAGAAGCGGACAUUUUCGGUAAUUAUUCUUUUAAUAUUUAUGCUACGACUGCGCGCUUCUACGUAUUCUCAGUGCGUCGCUAGCUGCGGCGGGGGGGCGGAUGUGCAGCGCUGCAACUAUCUUAGAAGCAAAGUGAAUAUUUCUACUACAAUGGGGGCUUUUUGAACGAUAGACAAAUCGAGGAAUUGAUGAACGACUCAAAUGAUGAUUUGGAAUCGGAAAAUCGGAAAGGACACCAAAUAUAAACCAACUUUCAGUUAUCAGUCCCAGUUUGAAGAAUCAGUUGCAUCGACCUCUUCUGCAGCUUCAAUUUCAAGUCGGAAAAGGGCCCGAUGCUACCUAUGCGAUUGGAAAAAUGACCGAAAACAUUCUCUAAAAUGUUCUAAAUGUUUACAUAUUAUUUGUAAGACACAUUCCUUCCAAAAUGUUCAGUGUUCUAGUUGUCAGAAAGUAUAAAGACUAAUCUUGUUAGUUUGGAAAAAGUCGUUUUGAUUUUGGUUGUCAUUUUUUUUAUUUUAUGCUGAUCUCAGAAGUAAUUUAUUUUUUUGUUAUCAUAAGGAUAU
Molecule: long non-coding RNA, 588 nt
Filed under: Helicoverpa zea (corn earworm)
Lineage: Eukaryota; Metazoa; Arthropoda; Insecta; Lepidoptera; Noctuidae
Description: uncharacterized LOC124630487
Source: RNAcentral